Molecule: ribosomal RNA, 918 nt
Filed under: uncultured bacterium
Lineage: Bacteria
Description: bacterial SSU rRNA
Rfam family: Bacterial small subunit ribosomal RNA
Source: RNAcentral
ACGCUGGCGGCGUGCCUAAUACAUGCAAGUCGAACGAGAGCGACCGGUGCUUGCACUGGUCAAUCUAGUGGCGAACGGGUGAGUAACACGUGGGUAACCUGCCCAUCAGAGGGGGAUAACAUUCGGAAACGGAUGCUAAAACCGCAUAGGUCUUCGAACCGCAUGGUUUGAAGAGGAAAAGAGGCGCAAGCUUCUGCUGAUGGAUGGACCCGCGGUGCAUUAGCUAGUUGGUGAGGUAACGGCUCACCAAGGCCGUGAUGCAUAGCCGACCUGAAAGGGUGAUCGGCCACAUUGGGACUGAGACACGGCCCAAACUCCUACGGGAGGCAGCAGUAGGGAAUCUUCCGCAAUGGACGCAAGUCUGACGGAGCAACGCCGCGUGAGUGAAGAAGGUUUUCGGAUCGUAAAACUCUGUUGUUAGAGAAGAACAAGUGCUAGAGUAACUGUUAGCGCCUUGACGGUAUCUAACCAGAAAGCCACGGCUAACUACGUGCCAGCAGCCGCGGUAAUACGUAGGUGGCAAGCGUUGUCCGGAUUUAUUGGGCGUAAAGCGAGCGCAGGCGGUUCCUUAAGUCUGAUGUGAAAGCCCCCGGCUCAACCGGGGAGGGUCAUUGGAAACUGGGGAACUUGAGUGCAGAAGAGGAGAGUGGAAUUCCAUGUGUAGCGGUGAAAUGCGUAGAUAUAUGGAGGAACACCAGUGGCGAAGGCGACUCUCUGGUUUGUAACUGACGCUGAGGCUCGAAAGCGUGGGUAGCAAACAGGAUUAGAUACCCUGGUAGUCCACGCCGUAAACGAUGAGUGCUAAGUGUUGGAGGGUUUCCGCCCUUCAGUGCUGCAGUUAACGCAUUAAGCACUCCGCCUGGGGAGUACGACCGCAAGGUUGAAACUCAAAGGAAUUGACGGGGACCCGCACAAGCG